GAUGAACGCUAGCUGCAGGCUUAACACAUGCAAGUCGAGGGACCGGCGCACGGGUGAGUAACACGUAUCCAACCUGCGCUUUACUAGGGGAAAGGCUUUCGAAAGCAAGAUUAAUACCAGAUAAAAAGGCGGGGGGUGCGUUCCAUGAGGUUGUGGGUGAGGUAACGGCUCACCAAGCCGUCGAUGGAGAGGGGUUCGGAGAGGCAGGCACCCCACAUGGGAACGACGAUACGGUCUCAACUCCUACGGGAGGCAGCGGUGAGGAGUAUUAGGCAAUGGGCGCUAGCCUGAACCAGCCAAGUAGCGGAAAGGAUGAAGGCUUAUGGGUCGUAAACUGCCGUUAUAUAAGAAUCGGUAUUAGAGGAAUAAGGAUCGGCUAACUCCGUGCCAGCAGCCGCGGUAAUUC
This 406-nucleotide ribosomal RNA is filed under the name uncultured bacterium. Its description in RNAcentral is "partial 16S ribosomal RNA". It matches the Rfam family "Bacterial small subunit ribosomal RNA", at positions 28 to 526 of the family's 1533-position model. The record is from RNAcentral.